GGCGGACGGGUGAGUAACGCGUGGGUAACCUGCCUCAUACAGGGGGAUAACAGUUAGAAAUGGCUGCUAAUACCGCAUAAGACCACGGUACUGCAUGGUACAGUGGUAAAAACUCCGGUGGUAUGAGAUGGCCCCGCGUCUGAUUAGGUAGUUGGUGAGGUAACGGCCCACCAAGCCGACGAUCAGUAGCCGACCUGAGAGGGUGACCGGCCACAUUGGGACUGAGACACGGCCCAG
This 237-nucleotide ribosomal RNA is filed under the name uncultured bacterium. RNAcentral describes it as "partial 16S ribosomal RNA". It matches the Rfam family "Bacterial small subunit ribosomal RNA", at positions 97 to 334 of the family's 1533-position model. The record is from RNAcentral.